This is a long non-coding RNA of Larimichthys crocea (large yellow croaker), 577 nucleotides long. RefSeq lists it as uncharacterized. The transcript is spliced from 7 exons. NCBI's taxonomy places the organism in Eukaryota, Metazoa, Chordata, Actinopteri, Sciaenidae. The record is from RefSeq and is a predicted model, not a curated record.
AAAAAGAAGCGGAAACCCGGUCACCGUCAUUUGAACGUGGCGCGGCGGAUCUCGGCGGACGUCACGGAGACUUCUCUGACUUCAUCGGUAAAAUCUGCUUUAAAAUGUCUCCGCAGUCCAUAAAUGGUCACGUCAGUCACAGAGGAUCAUGACCUUCAGGGACACCGUACAGAAGCUGCUCACUGGUGUCACGAUGGAGGAUGAGAGUAAUUCAUCAGCUCAGCUGAACCAAGACACAGGAUGAAUGGCGUGUCAAGCUAUCUUCAACAUCGAUGACCAUCAAAGCCUGUGAAGUUGGCUGAAAGAAACGUCUGCAUAUUCGUUGAGACGUGACACUCGAAGGCCAUCACUUGUGACAUAAAGCCGGGUGAACGUUACAGCGAUGCUGUCAUGACCACCGAAUCGUCAACAGGUGACGACUUAACCCGAGAAGCCGGGUGGACGUGACUCUCCCGGCUUUCAUAUCGCUGAUGGUGCCUAAUGUCUGGUCGACCAUGAACAAGGAGCUGCAUCACAGACUCAGGAAGGCAAUGUUUUUGUUGAUCAAGGAAUAAAGAGUCAAAUGUUGCUAAAUGAA